RNAcentral lists this ribosomal RNA (422 nucleotides) under uncultured bacterium. RNAcentral's name for it is "partial 16S ribosomal RNA". It matches the Rfam family "Bacterial small subunit ribosomal RNA", at positions 360 to 774 of the family's 1533-position model. The record is from RNAcentral.
AAUAUUGGACAAUGGGGGCAACCCUGAUCCAGCCAUGCCGCGUGUGUGAAGAAGGUCUUCGGAUUGUAAAGCAUUUUAUGACGGGAGGAAGGGCUUUAGGUUAAUACGCUGAAGUUUUGGCGUUACCAACAGAAUAAGCACCGGCGAACUCUGUGCCAGCAGCAGCGGUAAUACAGAGGGUGCAAGCGUUAAUCGGAAUUACUGGGCGUAAAGCGCGCGUAGGUGGUUCAGUAAGAUGGGUGUGAAAUCCCCGGGCUUAACCUGGGAACUGCUUUCAUAACUGCUGAGCUAGAGUACGGUAGAGGGUAGUGGAAUUUCCUGUGUAGCGGUGAAAUGCGUAGAUAUAGGAAGGAACACCAGUGGCGAAGGCGACUACCUGGACUGAUACUGACACUGGGGUGCGAAAGCGUGGGGAGCAAACA